This 254-nucleotide ribosomal RNA is filed under the name uncultured bacterium. RNAcentral describes it as "partial 16S ribosomal RNA". It matches the Rfam family "Bacterial small subunit ribosomal RNA", at positions 524 to 776 of the family's 1533-position model. The record is from RNAcentral.
GACGUAGGGUCCAAGCGUUAUCCGGAUUUACUGGGCGUAAAGAGCGCGUAGGCGGUCCGUUAAGUGAGAAGUGAAAUCUUCAGGGCUCAACCCGAAAAUGGCUUUUCAUACUGGCGGACUUGAGGGAUGCAGAGGUAUGUGGAAUUCCUGGUGUAGCGGUGAAAUGCGUUGAUAUCAGGAGGAACACCCAUGGCGAAGGCAGCAUACUGGGCAUCAUCUGACGCUGAGGCGCGAAAGCGUGGGUAGCAAACAGG